ACUCCUACGGGAGGCAGCAGUGGGGAAUAUUGCACAAUGGGCGCAAGCCUGAUGCAGCCAUGCCGCGUGUGUGAAGAAGGCCUUCGGGUUGUAAAGCACUUUCAGUUGUGAGGAAGGUGGUGUCGUUAAUAGCGGCAUCAUUUGACGUUAGCAACAGAAGAAGCACCGGCUAACUCCGUGCCAGCAGCCGCGGUAAUACGGAGGGUGCAAGCGUUAAUCGGAAUUACUGGGCGUAAAGCGUGCGCAGGCGGUCUGUUAAGCGAGAUGUGAAAGCCCCGGGCUCAAGCCUGGGAACUGCAUUUCGAACUGGCAGACUAGAGUCUUGUAGAGGGGGGUAGAAUUCCAGGUGGUAGCGG
This 356-nucleotide ribosomal RNA is filed under the name uncultured bacterium. RNAcentral's name for it is "bacterial SSU rRNA". It matches the Rfam family "Bacterial small subunit ribosomal RNA", at positions 335 to 681 of the family's 1533-position model. The record is from RNAcentral.